This is a long non-coding RNA of Folsomia candida, 1892 nucleotides long. RefSeq lists it as uncharacterized. Lineage: Eukaryota; Metazoa; Arthropoda; Collembola; Entomobryomorpha; Isotomidae. The transcript is spliced from 2 exons. The record is from RefSeq and is a predicted model, not a curated record.
AGCUGCGGAUUGCUUUAUUUUUUUGCGAAAUAUAGGUCCUAUUUCGCAAAAAAAAUCGCAAAGAUGCCAAGAUGUUUUGCGAAGUGAAGUAGUUGGAAAUCUCAUUUUUCCCAGAUUUGGUGUAAAUAUGUAGUGAGUGAGGAUGUGACGGAGAAAUGACGUCCAAAAGUGGGUACCCUCACCCUCUUUUCCAAGAAAUGAAAUGCCAUGCGAGAAUUCAGUCAAGUUGGAGUAACCACAACAACAAACAAGAUCGAGGAGAUCUUUCUUGGCACCUGUUCCAGUAUCUACAACCAGUGGCCGCGGAAGCUGUGGGGACAUGUGGGGACAUUAACAUAUUAGGGUAGAGGAGAGACGGAUUCUAUAUAAGAUGGGGAGAUGAUGCGGACAUCGAACAACCGUGGGGACAUUGUCGCCACCCUUCCGCGGCCACUGAGAGUCGAAACCAAGUAAGAACAUAUUUACAUAAGCAACUUUGAGAUAAUGCAUCGUCAACAAUACUGCGUCCACGUCCAGUCCAGUCCAGCGACGGGGUCAACUUCUUCUUCAACCAGGGCUCAUUUAUCCAUCUUUAAAAUGUCAAGAUUGACUAUAACUAUAAUUAAUAAAUGAAUAACUAUAAUUAAUAAUUAUAAUUAAAGUUAAUGAAUAACUAUAAUUGAUUAGAUGGCAUGAUAAGGAUACCGAUAAUUGAUACGAUGUUAGGCGGCAUGAUAAGCAUCCAUAGUUGAUACGUCAUUGAUACGUCAGUAUGUAUCUACAUAUACAUGUCUAUGCGUCAUUCCCACGCUGAGUGACCCAUUUUUUAUCUUAAAGUCAAAAAGUGAUUUCGUAAUUUCGCUUUCACUGGGAAUUUAACGCCGACAUGAAAAAGACGGCAAUGAAUGUUAAGUAAGUACAUACACAGUUAAUUACUUAGUUAUUUAGUUAAAUAAGCUUGAAUAUUAAUCUCUAUAUUUUCACAGGCUCAAAAUACCUUAACCCAGCACACAAAUAGCCCUCACUUGAAAUAAUAAUCAAUUAAAAGCAUAAUUUAAUUAAUGUAUGUUCAAAAUAAGUCAAUUUUUAUCAUGAGGUUAACGGCUGACAUUGAAGAGUCUGUCGCCUUGUUUAACCCCUUUAAUCUUAGUAGCGUCCAAUUGUUUGAACAAGAAUUCAAGAUCUGUACUUAUUCUUGCAUCCGUCCGACACAACUCGGAAUACGUUGACGGGUGCCCGUUCGAAGCAGAACGGUGUCCCCUUAAAUCUCGAACGCCCCAACAGCUUGCCUCGGACGGCAUCAUAAACCAUACCUCGCAAUGAACGUAACGUUGACGUAACCAAAACGGUCCAUGGACCACAAAAAAAUUGGCCCAUCGAUGAACCAUGGACCAUGGUUCAUGGUCCAAUUUACUGCGAGCAUGCCAUGAACUCGACAAUCGCUGAACAAGAAAAGAAACACGUAAUUAAUGUAGGACUCGAUGACGCAUCAGCAAUUUUAAAUCUUUUCACGACUCUGGCAAUUUAUUUUUGCCUAGAAGCCUCAUUUCACCUGGAAAUUCAUUCCUUAAUUAAUGCUGUAUAAAAAUAGAUGAGAAAGAAUAAUCAACUCAGAAAUUUGCAUUCUUAUUAAACGUCUCACUUUCAAAGUAGAAUUUAUUACCGAAUACAUUACCGGACGCAGAAAAUAAUAUCACUUGACUCCACUAAUCACAAUACUCUAAUACAACUUAACAUAAUCCAUUUUCAGACUAGAAUAUCGAAUCGUUAAAUAUUUAUAAUUAUAAACUUUGGUUCAGUUCGUGACGAUAAAUUCAGAGGUUGUUCGUAGCAUGAAUUUCAUACAGAUUUAUGUUUACCAUUGUAUCGUAUUGUGAAUUAUGGCGACAUAUUUUGUAAUAAACGAACAUUAU